Molecule: non-coding RNA, 853 nt
Organism: Chrysemys picta bellii (western painted turtle)
Lineage: Eukaryota; Metazoa; Chordata; Testudines; Emydidae
Source: RefSeq, a predicted model, not a curated record
UUGUUAUUCAGUAAUAAACUUGUGUAAUGCUUUUUUUAGUAUUCCUCUAGAUAAGGACAGCUAGAAUAUCUUUGCAUUUACAUAGACGGACCCAGAAACUAAGAGAGCAGAACAACUGACCUGGACUCGGCUCCCGCAAAAAUAUGUUAAGUCCCCGACUAUUUUUUCCUCUAUCCUGACACGUGACUUAGCUGAUAUCAGCCUACCGGGUGAGUCUACAUAUCUCUUGUAUGUGGAUGACGUCCUGGUUUGUUCUCCGGAUCAAGUAUGCGGCUCAAUUUCAGUCCCUACCCGCUGAUGUUCCUGCCCACCGGAUCGCUCCAGAAGACUGGGUCUAUGUAAAAAAGUAAAAACACGAGCCUCUCCAACCCCGGUGGGCGGGCCCUUUCCAAGUCCUUCUUACCUCUCACACUGCUGUUCGAGUGAGAGAGCGAGACACUUAGAUACACCACACCCGAGUCAAGCUAGCCCCUAGGACGGGGCCAGAAGCAGACGACUUCGGACCUCGAGGGAGCACCGCCAGCUCUUCCCACCGCGACCCGGAAGAGCCAGAAGCAGACGAUACCUGGAAAGCUGAACCUCUUAAAAAACUAAAGCUUUUGUUCCGGCGAACAAAAUCCUAAGACUUUAUAACUAUGGGUUCUCAGACGGUGCUGCAGUGGCUAUUGCUUUUGAGUUUGCCCCUUGUACAAGCUAAUCCACACCCAGCCGCUAAAUCUCUUCAGCAAAUAGCCACAUUAAGACACUUAUCUAAUUGUUGGCUGUGUCACAAAACCCGCUCUAAAAAAAAAUAAAAUUGUAGGCUGUACCAGCAAAUCUUUCUAAAGUACUCUCCUUACAAAUAAAACAAAAA